UUUUCAAUGACCUUAUAUUAAAUAUAGCCUGCUCAAUGAAAUAAAUAGCCGCAGAAAAUUUACUGUGCUAAGGUAGCAUAAUCACUUGCCUUCUAACUGAAGACUAGAAUGAACGGCCCAACAAUUAAACAAUUUUUUUAAUACUUAAAAAUAUAAAUUUUAUUAAGCAUAAAAAUAUACUUAUUCGCAUAAAAGACGACAAGACCCCGUCGAACUUAACUGAAGUUAAGCUGGGGAAGCUCAUUAAUUAUUAUUGUAAACCUCAUUAUUAAAUGAAUACCCAUUAAAAAUGAAUUAUAAUCAAGUUACCGCGGGGAUAACAGCGUAAUAAUUCUCUAAAGCUCUAAUUUAAAGAAAAGAUUACGACCUCGAUGUUGAAUUAAUUUAUCUCACUAGCGCAAAAGCUAAAACUAGUAAGUCUGUUCGACUUUUUAAAAAUUACA
Molecule: ribosomal RNA, 443 nt
Filed under: Domitius menozzii
Lineage: Eukaryota; Metazoa; Arthropoda; Arachnida; Araneae; Nesticidae
Description: partial 16S ribosomal RNA
Rfam family: Bacterial large subunit ribosomal RNA
Source: RNAcentral